GCGGUAAUUCCAGCUCCAAUAGCGUAUAUUAAAGUUGUUGAGGUUAAAAAGCUCGUAGUUGAACCUUGGGCCUAGCCGGCCGGUCCGCCUCACCGCGUGCACUGGCUCGGUUGGGCCUUUCCUUCUGGAGAACCCCAUGCCCUUCACUGGGUGUGGC
Molecule: ribosomal RNA, 157 nt
Filed under: uncultured fungus
Lineage: Eukaryota; Fungi
Description: partial 18S ribosomal RNA
Rfam family: Eukaryotic small subunit ribosomal RNA
Source: RNAcentral